GAGAGCCGGAUGCGGGAGAUCCGCACGUCCGGUUCGGAGGGAGGGGUGAGGUUCAAUCCCUCAUUCCUACCCCUAU
This 76-nucleotide non-coding RNA is filed under the name Kiritimatiella glycovorans. Lineage: Bacteria; Pseudomonadati; Kiritimatiellota; Kiritimatiellia; Kiritimatiellales; Kiritimatiellaceae. The record is from RNAcentral.